CGCGACCCCAGGUCAGGCGGGGUUACCCGCUGAAUUUAAGCAUAUCAAUAAGCGGAGGA
Molecule: ribosomal RNA, 59 nt
Filed under: Cliffortia alata
Lineage: Eukaryota; Viridiplantae; Streptophyta; Magnoliopsida; Rosales; Rosaceae
Also listed under: 24 other names
Description: partial 26S ribosomal RNA
Rfam family: Eukaryotic large subunit ribosomal RNA
Source: RNAcentral